CCCGCUGGCCGGACGGGGCACAAUAUGCCCGGGCCAUGCUGAAAGCCGUCCCCAGGGACGAGAAGGAGGCGAUCCCUGGGAUCAACUCCUUUAAUGCCGACCGGGUGCUGGUCGACCUGGCCGACGCUAUGCUGCGCGUAGAGGGGCUCAAACGAGCUUAUACCCGCAAGUCUGAGGAGGCGGAGAAGACCAAAGCCCUCCAACAGCAGAUUGAUCAGCUGAAAAACCAAGUUGACCAACUGCAGGCGUC
This is a long non-coding RNA of Chenopodium quinoa (quinoa), 250 nucleotides long. RefSeq lists it as uncharacterized. NCBI's taxonomy places the organism in Eukaryota, Viridiplantae, Streptophyta, Magnoliopsida, Caryophyllales, Amaranthaceae. The transcript is spliced from 3 exons. The record is from RefSeq and is a predicted model, not a curated record.